AACGAACGCUGGCGGCAGGCUUAACACAUGCAAGUCGAACGCCCGCAAGGGAGUGGCAGACGGGUGAGUAACGCGUGGGAACGUGCCCUUCGCUUCGGAAUAGCCCCGGGAAACUGGGAGUAAUACCGGAUACGCCGUAUUGGGAAAGAUUUAUCGGCGAAGGAUCGGCCCGCGUUAGAUUAGCUAGUUGGCGGUGUAAUGGACCCACCAAGGCUACGAUCUAUAGCUGGUCUGAGAGGAUGAUCAGCCACACUGGGACUGAGACACGGCCCAGACUCCUACGGGAGGCAGCAGUGGGGAAUCUUGGACAAUGGGCGCAAGCCUGAUCCAGCCAUGCCGCGUGAGUGAAGAAGGCCUUAGGGUUGUAAAACUCUUUCGCCGGAGAAGAUAAUGACGGUAUCCGGAGAAGAAGCCCCGGCUAACUUCGUGCCAGCAGCCGCGGUAAU
Molecule: ribosomal RNA, 446 nt
Filed under: uncultured bacterium
Lineage: Bacteria
Description: bacterial SSU rRNA
Rfam family: Bacterial small subunit ribosomal RNA
Source: RNAcentral